Molecule: ribosomal RNA, 416 nt
Filed under: uncultured bacterium
Lineage: Bacteria
Description: bacterial SSU rRNA
Rfam family: Bacterial small subunit ribosomal RNA
Source: RNAcentral
UCGGGAAUAUUGCGCAAUGGAGGAAACUCUGACGCAGUGACGCCGCGUGCAGGAAGAAGGUUUUCGGGUUGUAAACUGCUUUAGACAGGGAAGAAACAAGACAGUACCUGUAGAAUAAGCUCCGGCUAACUACGUGCCAGCAGCCGCGGUAAUACGUAGGGAGCAAGCGUUAUCCGGAUUUAUUGGGUGUAAAGGGUGCGUAGACGGGAAUGCAAGUUGGUUGUGAAAUCCCUCGGCUCAACCGAGGAAUUGCAACCAAAACUAUAUUUCUUGAGUGCUGGAGAGGAAAGUGGAAUUCCUAGUGUAGCGGUGAAAUGCGUAGAUAUUAGGAGGAACACCAGUGGCGAAGGCGACUUUCUGGACAGUAACUGACGUUGAGGCACGAAAGUGUGGGGAGCAAACAGGAUUAGAUACCC